GCGGAUGUGGCGGAAUUGGCAGACGCGCUAGUCUUAGGAACUAGUGGGGUAACUCGUGGGGGUUCAACUCCCUCCAUCCGCACCA
RNAcentral lists this transfer RNA (85 nucleotides) under Candidatus Orphnella occulta. RNAcentral describes it as "tRNA-Leu". It matches the Rfam family "tRNA". From Rfam's summary of the family: Transfer RNA (tRNA) molecules are approximately 80 nucleotides in length. Their secondary structure includes four short double-helical elements and three loops (D, anti-codon, and T loops). Further hydrogen bonds mediate the characteristic L-shaped molecular structure. tRNAs have two regions of fundamental functional importance: the anti-codon, which is responsible for specific mRNA codon recognition, and the 3' end, to which the tRNAs corresponding amino acid is attached (by aminoacyl-tRNA synthetases). tRNAs cope with the degeneracy of the genetic code in two manners: having more than one tRNA (with a specific anti-codon) for a particular amino acid; and 'wobble' base-pairing, i.e. permitting non-standard base-pairing at the 3rd anti-codon position. The record is from RNAcentral. Lineage: Bacteria; Pseudomonadati; Candidatus Omnitrophota.